CUGUUCGCCGUUCAGAAAAAAAAACCGCUGCGCACCAUGCCCGCACGACUUUCGCCUACUCCUCCUCCUCCCAACAGACGCCAGCCGUUCGCCACAGCACGGACGGGCCGCCUCCCGCGCCGAUCCUCCCGCCGCCUCCCACGCCGUUCGCCGCCCGCCGAUCCAAUCAUCCUCCGCAGCCGCUCAGCUUGGCGGGAGGAUUUCCCUGGCCUUGCCCCGUCCUCUCGUCUCUCGAUCUGAUCGAGGCCACAGCUCGGGAAUGGCGGCUGGCAUGCGGAAGGCGCCAUCCAUGGAGUGGCGGUGGGUGUCCGCGGGAGAGGAGGAUGACGACAAGCUGGAGGGCCGCAGGGCAGGGGGGCCCGCGGCCGUCGGGGCGGCAGCUUCGAGUCGGAGGACGAGGAGGACAACAUCGACUACGAGGACGAGGAGCACCGGGAGGCCAGGCAACGCCUGAUUCGGACCGUGCUGACCGUCGACUGGUUCCGGGCGCCAACGGCCAACGAGGUCUCAGGCAACGGCCAACGAGGUCUCGGGCGCGCAGCCUCUCGAGGACCCCGAGGAACCUCUUCCUGCUCCGUGGGUGGUUAAAGCGAGAAUACGGGCAGUGAUCAAACUUCAAACGUCAUAAUUAAAGAUACCUUGCCCAAUGCAAGUACCUUUUUCUAGGAGGCUUAAGAACUUGUAUAAGCACCUGUAGUCUCUGCAAUGCAAAAUUCCAACCCUACAGGUUUUCCACUGGGAGAACAAGUUUCUAGAUACCACAAUAAGAAUACUCAUUUUCUUGUUCUCUGUUUUUCAUUGCAAUUUUUUGUUGUGCAAUAUGAGUUGAUAUGAAUCAAACAUCCCAAGUAUUAUUGUUGACUAAUUUUUAAAUUACCUCCCUUCCAAGCAGCCCUUGAACAAUGAACAAGGAAAUUUCGGAGUCCUUGUUUCACUGCCUCCGAGGACGUGGGAGCCACCACCACCGUUGCUUACUUCCAGAACUAAAAGUCCUAGAUUCGUGUUGGCCAGCUUGAGACUGAAUAUAAACUAAGGUGCAUAGAGAGGGAUCGGUCAUAAUAAGCAUCUGUGUACAUCAUAAUUGUAUUCCUCCGUCGAGUACACAAGAGAGAGGGGUAUGUUGUUUUAGAAGAGGGCAAAAUAUAGUUAAAAGAGGGCAAAAUAAAGCAUGUAGGCUGAUGAAUGUCAAUUUAGACCAUCAUUUUGCAAUUGCUACUUUUGGUUCCAAAGGAUUAACAAGAUAAACUCGAUUGUUUAUAUGACCUUGCACUUAUAAGUUUACGUUGCAAAUUUUAUCACACUAGCAAUGUUGUGUGCAGAGAUAAUUUGUUUCAGCAAACUUGAUCAUGUGGAGAUUGUUGUGUGCAGAUAUCAGACUUCAGUGGCUAUAAGAAAAACUAAAGCUCUGUUUCCACAGGCGAAUGCAGCCUGACUGAAGAAUGCAAGCUCUGUUUCCUCAAGCUAUGUAUUAGGUUGCAUAUAUAUAACAAAGUGAGGUCCUCAUCCUGGUUCGUUUGGCAUGGCCACAUCCUCAUGGCCAAUAAGCUGUUGCGCUAGAGAUGGCCAGGCAGUGAGAUUUGCCCGACGUGUGGCUCUUGCGAAGAGACGGCCAGCUUUGCGAGGCAAGUAUGGCCAGGGUGGCCUUUUGGUCAUGAUACCAGGUGUUGUCUCCCCCAGUUCCUAAAACAUCGCUCCCAUCUAUGACUGGUGGAUGGCGAUCAGGUUUCAAAGGAGGAGAAAAAGCAUUUUCAUGGACUCACCUCGUAUGGCGUUAGGAAAAAUUGGAACAUUAAGUCAAUGACACCACAUUCAAGAUAUGAUUUUGUUAUAGUUGUUCCGGAUGCAUGGUGGGGGGCUGAGGUUUUGGGCCUCCCUUUUCCCCUCUAUUAGACAAAAUCUACCUGUAUGGGUCUGGCUGUAAAACUAACUUCGACUAACAUAUCCUUGCUUGCGAUGGAAUACAAAUGUAUUUUCUUUAAGCUGUAAUACUAAAAUACUUGUUUUUGUGAUGUAAUAUGGGUAUAGUUGAUUUUUUUGUGCGUGCA
Long non-coding RNA from Triticum urartu, 2045 nucleotides. RefSeq lists it as uncharacterized. The record is from RefSeq and is a predicted model, not a curated record. NCBI's taxonomy places the organism in Eukaryota, Viridiplantae, Streptophyta, Magnoliopsida, Poales, Poaceae.